This 633-nucleotide ribosomal RNA is filed under the name uncultured Cortinarius. RNAcentral's name for it is "eukaryotic LSU rRNA". The stretch from base 227 to 380 matches the Rfam family "5.8S ribosomal RNA". Lineage: Eukaryota; Fungi; Basidiomycota; Agaricomycetes; Agaricales; Cortinariaceae. The record is from RNAcentral.
UGAUGGGUUGCUGCUGGCUCUCUAGGGAGCAUGUGCACACUUGUCAUCUUUAUAUCUCCACCUGUGCACCUUUUGUAGAUCUGGAUAUCUUUCUGAAUGCCUGGCAUUCAGGUUUGAGGAUUGACUUUUGUCUUUCCUUACAUUUCCAGGCCUAUGUUUUCUUCAUAUACACCAUUUAUGUUAUAGAAUGUAAUGAAAAGGGCCUUUGUGCCUACAAACCUUAUACAACUUUCAGCAACGGAUCUCUUGGCUCUCGCAUCGAUGAAGAACGCAGCGAAAUGCGAUAAGUAAUGUGAAUUGCAGAAUUCAGUGAAUCAUCGAAUCUUUGAACGCACCUUGCGCUCCUUGGUAUUCCGAGGAGCAUGCCUGUUUGAGUGUCAUUAAUAUAUCAACCUCCUCAGGUUUUGACUUGUCGAGUGUUUGGAUGUGGGGGUCUUUUGCUGGUCUCUUUUGAGGUCGGCUCCCCUAAAAUGCAUUAGCGGAACAAUUUGUUGACCCGUUCAUUGGUGUGAUAACUAUCUACGCUUUUGACGUGAAACAGGUUCAGCUUCUAACAGUCCAUUGACUUGGACAAAUUUUCAUUAAUGUGACCUCAAAUCAGGUAGGACUACCCGCUGAACUUAAGCAUAUCAA